UGGGGAAUAUUGCACAAUGGGGGAAACCCUGAUGCAGCGACGCCGCGUGGACGAGGAAGCGCUUCGGCGCGUAAAGUCCUGUCAGCAGGGAAGAAGAUGACGGUACCUGACCAAGAAGCCCCGGCUAACUACGUGCCAGCAGCCGCGGUAAUACGUAGGGGGCAAGCGUUAUCCGGAUUCACUGGGCGUAAAGGGAGCGCAGGCGGCACGGCAAGUCCGGUGUGAAAGCCCGGGGCCCAACCCCGGGACUGCACUGGAAACUGCCGGGCUGGAGUGCCGGAGGGGUAAGCGGAAUUCCUGGUGUAGCGGUGAAAUGCGCAGAUAUCAGGAGGAACACCGGUGGCGGAGGCGGCUUACUGGACGGCAACUGACGCUGAGGCUCGAAAGCGUGGGGAGCAAACAGG
This 404-nucleotide ribosomal RNA is filed under the name uncultured bacterium. RNAcentral's name for it is "bacterial SSU rRNA". It matches the Rfam family "Bacterial small subunit ribosomal RNA", at positions 355 to 776 of the family's 1533-position model. The record is from RNAcentral.